GGCUGGAUGGCCGAGCGGUCUAAGGCGGAGGAUUUAAGUUGGACUUAUUCUUAACACUCCUCUUCUCGAGAGAGAGCGUGGGUUCGAACCCCACUCCAGUCA
Molecule: non-coding RNA, 102 nt
Organism: Parathielavia hyrcaniae
Lineage: Eukaryota; Fungi; Ascomycota; Sordariomycetes; Sordariales; Chaetomiaceae
Source: the annotation of a GenBank genome assembly